CGGCAUGCCUAACACAUGCAAGUCGAACGGAAACGAUGGGAGCUUGCUCCCAGGCGUCGAGUGGCGGACGGGUGAGUAAUACUUGGGAAUCUGCCCAGUAGUGGGGGACAACAUUCGGAAACGGAUGCUAAUACCGCAUACGCACUACGGUGGAAAGUGGGGGAUCUUCGGACCUCACGCUAUUGGAUGAGCCCAAGUCGGAUUAGCUUGUUGGUGAGGUAAUGGCUCACCAAGGCGACGAUCCGUAGCUGGUCUGAGAGGACGAUCAGCCACGCUGGGACUGAGACACGGCCCAGACUCCUACGGGAGGCAGCAGUGGGGAAUAUUGGACAAUGGGCGCAAGCCUGAUCCAGCAAUGCCGCGUGUGUGAAGAAGGCCUGCGGGUUGUAAAGCACUUUCAGUAGAGAAGAAAAGCCUAGGGUUAAUACCCCUGAGUCUUGACGUAACCUACAGAAGAAGCACCGGCUAACUCCGUGCCAGCAGCCGCGGUAAUACGGAGGGUGCGAGCGUUAAUCGGAAUUACUGGGCGUAAAGCGCGCGUAGGCGGCUUUGUAAGUCGGAUGUGAAAUCCCUGGGCUUAACCUGGGAACUGCAUUCGAUACUGCAUAACUAGAGUAUGGUAGAGGA
This 627-nucleotide ribosomal RNA is filed under the name uncultured Gammaproteobacteria bacterium. RNAcentral describes it as "bacterial SSU rRNA". It matches the Rfam family "Bacterial small subunit ribosomal RNA", at positions 40 to 658 of the family's 1533-position model. Lineage: Bacteria; Pseudomonadati; Pseudomonadota; Gammaproteobacteria. The record is from RNAcentral.